GAUGCAGAAGGGUCUUCAUUUGUGAAAUGAUGAAAAUAAAUUUAAUGGGGAAGCAGGAGGUGCUACUGGUUACCUUUCAACUAUUCUCUUAUUGGAUGUACUAAAUAUACUUCUCAAACUUACUUUCAGAUGGAGAGUACUGGAAUUUCUGCAGAGAAAGAAGUGCAAAAAAAUUGCACAUCUGAGAAGAGCAGAUACGGAAAGGGUUCCGUGGGACUGGAGAGUGACAAGAAAUUCAGAAGCUGCAAGGCAUUAAUCAGAAAGAACCAGAAAGGCAUUCCAGGAGCACACACCUUCCAUAUCUUCAUGUGCUGGCCUGGAAGCUCAGCUUCACCCCUGACCACAUGAACCCUCGCCCAGGGGAAUUUCAGACAGGUACAGAUGCACCAAGAGGAACAAAGUGUCCAAAUCCCAGCGUGCCAGCCACAAAGCCCCAGGAUAUCCAGUUACACUGAUCAAAACCCACAGUGCUAAGAGAUGGAAAAAUCUCUAUUCUGAUAUUGUUUGACAGUGAAGAAGGGUGGACAGAGUGUGUAUUGAUGCUCCUGAUAUGUAAAAACUACCUCAGAUUAGUGGAUAUACCUGAAAGUGGGAGACAAAUGGAUAAUACAACAUUGACCACGUUGUCCACAUUUUGUACUCACAAAUCAGUUUUCUUUUGACAAGACUCAUUUUUCACAGCAGUAUCUUUGUCUCCAAGCCUUUGCCAAGCAGUUAUAACUUCAUCAGUGCAUUUGGGGAUACAUUUAACAAAAUUGCCUUUUGCAGAAGUGAGAUGGUACCAAAGCAAUGCAAUUCUGAAAAACAAAAACACAGAGGGAAGAAGAAAAGCUAUCUUGAGGAACUAGUGAAUGUGGCCCUCAAUUUCCUAAUAAAAUGCCCCAGUGCAUUGUUGCUUUUCUAUUUUUCUCUUUAUGAGUUACAGGAAAAUAAAAUUACCAUAAUUUUGCAACAUGUGCAACAUCAUUUCAUUACAAGGAAAAGAAGCCAAAAUUGUGCUUUAUUUUAAUGAAAUUAUGUUAUUAUUAAGAUUUCUCUAAUGUGACCUUUGAUCUUGAAUUCUUCAUGAAAUCACAUGCACAAGGUACAGAUAGUGACAUAGUGAGCCUCCUCUCUUUAGUUGUUCCAGAGGCUGUGUCCAAACACAUGAAAAUCUCAGAAUUCCUUAAUGGUUUCCUCUAAAUAACCAAAACCAUUUUCUUAUGCAUCAUCAAACAGUUACAGCCAUGCUGAGAUUAUGUGACUAAAACUUCAAGGCAGAAAAUACCAAAUGUAAAUGUGCCUGUGUCGCUUUGUCCAUUACUGUAUCAUCUUUGAUUAGAGAAUCAUAUUAAAUUAAUAAUUAAUAAUAUCUUGGCUUACCUCCUUCAGCUGUACAUAUGGCAUUCCUGUGCAUUUGCUGUGCUUGCACUAGGGUAAUGAAGAACAUGAUAUAACAUAGAAACCAUAUUACUAAUCUGUAGGAACUCUGCUCAUUCAUCUGUCCUCCCCUCAUAAAGCCAGGCCACUAGCCCUAGCAGAUUAGUGUUUGAACAAGGAUAACUUGACAUGGGCUGCUAGACAAAAGCAAGACAAAACAUUCCUAGCUGAGGAUGGUAGGCAGAGGAAUGCAGAGCAUCCUGAGGACAGACCAACCAGCCUUUGGCUGAUCAGUGUAGCUUGCAUUUGAGAAACACUUCUAAUUGUGUGUUGUAUAUUAAAUGUUUUUAAUCACAACUUGUAGAUUAAAAAUUUCCUUCCAACUAGACUUUAAUAAAA
Molecule: long non-coding RNA, 1758 nt
Organism: Parus major (Great Tit)
Lineage: Eukaryota; Metazoa; Chordata; Aves; Passeriformes; Paridae
Exons: 3
Source: RefSeq, a predicted model, not a curated record